GCCACAGUGCUGGCCGAGACAUAGUACACAAGGGAAGCAGUCCACUGACCCAUGGCACGGCCAGCCCAAGAGACGGUUUCUCCCGAGUCAAAUCUGCUCUUAACUGUUGGCCCAAUGAUCCUGAUACCCUCCAGUGUUGGCUUCUGUUGCAGGGAAACCUGCAUGUGUUUACAGGAGCUUGAGUCACUGUUGUCGAAAGUCACUGGUGACCAAGAUGUCCGUUAGUUAGGUGUUCUAGAUAAAUUAUAGUAAGCUCAGACAGCGCUGGAGGGAAGGAAUUACAGCUUAGUCCAGGAAACCUCACUCUGCAUUCUUAUGAAAGAAACACUUCCUGAGAAGUCUGGGUCCUGUGUGACUUCAAGCACAAGAUCCGAAAAGGCAGAGAACCAAGUACAGCAGAAAGAUCCCUGGCUCUCAGAGUUAGGGGGUGGGUGAGGGCUGAACAGGCAGAUUUGAAACGCAAGAAAACGUUUCUGUUCUGGUCCUGCAAUGAUUCAUAGGCGCCAUGAUAUAUGUGCUAACAUCUGUAGCAAGAUGUUACAAGAUUGUAACAAGAUCAGUAAGGCCAUAUUUGUAAGCUGUGGAGUAUGAGUGAAGAUAAUGAGUCUGUGUGGCCCAUGGAUGGCGCCAGAUGCGCCUCCCUUAGCUCUAUGAGUAUUUAUCCCCCUCAUUUUUUUGCUACCUCGAAGUUUCUCGCAGGUCCUUCAGACUCAGUCUUUCUUUCUAAAUCCUCGCCUUUAAAAAGUUGCUUCUCAUUCAUACUCGUCUCGUUUCCCCUAUGUGAUGUGGAUCAAAUUAAUUGUGGCAAAUCCUUGCUAAGGAGUUGAUUGGGCUGGUGAGGUGACUCAGCAGGUAGAGAUGCUUGUCCUAGGACUGGCAGCCUGAGUGUGAUCCCUAGGACACACGAGGAGUGGGGGGGGGGGGGGAGCAAGGGAGGGAUGGGAGAACGCUGACUACUAUAAGUGGUCCUCUGAUCCUCACAAGCAUGCAAUGGCACAGACUUGAUACACACAGCGUAGGUGCACAGGCAAAUAGUGCUUGUACAAGGAGGGAGGGCCAGUGGAGGGCCCUGCAUGUGCUCACACGCUAAUCAGUGUUGUCAGCUCAUAUGAAUUGUUUUUCUAUAGGGUCUCACUAUGUAUCUCUGGAUGGCCUGGAACUCACUCUGUAGAUCACAUCGGCCUCUUAACUUCCAGAGAUCUGACUGUCUUCUGUCACUUGAGCGCUAGGAUUAAAGACUGUACCCAGCCCCAGUGUCUUGAUCUUGAUUAUUAAGGAAACCGGCUCACAGGUUCCUCGGCCGUGCUGAGAGUGUGCUGAUGUUCACGGGUUGUCUGUGGAGAAUGCAAAGGUGACUUUAAAUAUCUCAGGGGACAGCUUGCACACGUUUCCAUAUUUCCAUGGACGCCGGCUGGGCUUUUGAUGGUGCCUUCCUCUCGAGACACGGUCCGGGCCUGUCGUUUCAGACUUUAUCUCCUGGCUCCUAACCUUUCCUCUGCAUAGUUCAAAGCUGACUCUAUUGGUUGUGCCUCAAACUUAUGUGUGUACAGGACUUCUGUUUAAAUCACGUUUGACGCUGCCUGAGUCCAUUCUGUGCUUGCAACAGGUCAGCCAUCUCAUACUCUCUAGUUGGGGGUUAGAAACUUUUAAAGCACAUUGGAGUUAGAGCUGUAAUUAGUUAUAUUAGAGGGUUGUUGUGGUUACUGUAGACCUUUAGCUUCUGCUAAUAAGCCCAGGCUUUGAGGAGGUCAGUCCCAUGGCUCCUUCAGUUUCCAUUCUUCCUGCUGUGAGAUUUUGUUUUCAUCUGCCCUCUGUCUGAGAACCACUGGAGAGAGACCCUGCAUCUCUCUCAUACCUUUAUAGGAAGUCUCCGCACCUCCUUGUUUUCUCAGUUUUUAAUACUGGGGUCUGGAGACUUACCCACUUUUGUUUGUAAUCCUGGUCCCUCGGUUUCCUCUGCUGUGUAAGGUUGUCGGUGUCGAGUGUAUUCUUUUCAUCCCGCUCACUGAUUGUUGCCUUGGAUGUUUGGAACAUCUGUUGCUGCUGAUGUUCUGUUUUGCCUCAGCUACAUACGUAAAUGUCUAUGACAUGUGUCAAGUAGCACAUCCUAUUCUAAAAAUAAACCGCAGGGGGAUAGAUAGGCCGGCGGCAGAACCCGCACGGAGCAUGUCUAAGACCCCCAUCUUGACUCCCAGAACCC
This 2200-nucleotide long non-coding RNA is filed under the name Mus musculus (house mouse). RNAcentral's name for it is "long non-coding RNA chr10:67102418-67104618". The record is from RNAcentral. Lineage: Eukaryota; Metazoa; Chordata; Mammalia; Rodentia; Muridae.